RNAcentral lists this long non-coding RNA (1717 nucleotides) under Sorghum bicolor (sorghum). Its description in RNAcentral is "long non-coding RNA (SBIC_LNC004069)". Lineage: Eukaryota; Viridiplantae; Streptophyta; Magnoliopsida; Poales; Poaceae. The record is from RNAcentral.
UGUGCUAAAGAUUUGAUAUGACGAAGAAUCUUGAAAAGUUUUUGGAUUUUGGGUGGAAUAGAUCCAAUUUUUUUUUUUUGGAUUUUGAGACUGUAGCACUUUCAUUUUUAUUUGACAAACAUUGUCUAAUUAUGGAGUAACUAGGCUUAAAAGAUUCAUCUCACGAUUUACAAGCAAACUAUGCAAUUAGUUUUUGUUUUCAUCUAUAUUUAAUACUACAUGCAUGUGCCAUAGUAUUUGAUGUGACGGGAAAUCUAGAAAAGUUUUUUUUGUUUUUGGGUGAACUAAACAAGGCCAAAGUUAAAAACUAUGUCUACACGAGAUCCAAAAUAUGAACUAAUAUAAUUGGUUGAGAAUGGAGAGAGAACGAAUAUGAUCGAAUAAAAAAAUUUUCUAUAAAAACCAUAUAUUGGGACCAUAGUUUCUAUAUAUAGUGUCUAUAAAAAUUAAUAGACGUAGACAGUAUAUGUAGUUUUUAGCAUCGGGACUGCCGUAGAGUAGGAGAUGGUAAAACUAUUUUUUUCUUUUUUUUGUCAUUGGACCUAUUUGGUGUUUGGAUCUUUAGUAUUAAAAAAUUAGUAUUAUAUCUGGCUCUAUGUGGCACGGCUCCAACUUCAGUAGUGAAGUUUUUGAGAGGCUUUAGCUUCAUAAAAAAACUUUAUUAGUAGAGUUAGAGCCGCUUUGAUAAAUCGUUUGGUAAAAUAGUUCAUUCUUUGAAAUAUGCUCUCAUAAAACGGCACAAGCCACUAUUUUUGGCUCCGUGACACCUCAAAGCUAUGUGAGAGCAUAUUUUUAGAGACUUUAUCUGGUGUAGCCAUUUCAAUUUAUCAUGUUUGGCAUAAAAUGGCUUCAAAUAGCUCGUAAAACCUCUAGAAAAACCCUGCCAAACAAGAUCGACAUUAAUUAGAAUAAUUAAACGUGAACUAGUUUUAAAACUAAUUAUGUAAAUGAUGAUUAAUUAACGAGACGAAUCUGUUAUCCUAAUCUCAUGGGAACUGGAGAAUCGUUUUUACCGGCUCAUGUUGACUCUGUAAUAGGAAGAUAAAAGAGAUAUAACCAGCUCCCAUAAAUUGUUUUUAAUAACGCCUUGUUUAAUUUCUUAAAAAUUUUAUAAAAUUUUAUAAAUUUUUUGUCACAUCAAAUCUUACAAUAUAUGCAUGAAGCCAUAGAGCAUUAAAUAUAAUUAAAAAAUAACUAAUUAUAUAAUCUGUCUAUAAUCGGUGAGACGAUUUUUUUUAACCUAGAUACUCUACAGUGUUGAUUUUACGGUGUUAAUUUUGCAAAAGAAAAAUUUACAUCGCAUUCUCCACCUCCCGGAUAACACGCUUGAACACUGAGUCCUGAAUUGACUGCCUUGUUUAGUUCUUCAAAAAUUUUGCAAAAUUUUUCAGAUUCGUCGUCACAUCAAAUCUUUAGACGUAUGCAUGGAGUAUUAAAUAUAGAUGAAAAUAAAAACUAAUUGCACAGUUUGGUCGGAAUUGACGAGACGAAUCUUUUGAUCCUAGUUAGUCCAUAAUUGGACAAUAUUUGCAAAAUAUUUUGGAACUAAACAAGGCCUGAUAUGCAGUUUUUCUAGUGUUUUAGCAUUCAAAAUUUAGUAUAAACGUUUCCUAAUAAAUGCUUCCUAAUGAGGAUUUCCUAGUAUUUUGACUAAUGGUAGUAUUUUAUUACUAACUAAAAACACUAGGAAAACUUCAUCAUUUUAGUAGUGUCGGUA